UAGAGUUUGAUCCUGGCUCAGAUUGAACGCUGGCGGCAGGCCUAACACAUGCAAGUCGAGCGGUAGCGGGAAGAGCUUGCUCUUUGCCGACGAGCGGCGGACGGGUGCGUAACACGUAGGAAUCUGCCCGGUAGUGGGGGAUAGCCCGGAGAAAUCCGGAUUAAUACCGCAUACGCACCAGCUCUUUAUGAGCGGUGGAAAGCAGGGGAUCUUCGGACCUUGCGCUAUCGGAUGAGCCUGCGUCGGAUUAGCUGGUUGGUGGGGUAAAGGCCCACCAAGGCGACGAUCCGUAGCUGGUCUGAGAGGAUGAUCAGCCACACUGGGACUGAGACACGGCCCAGACUCCUACGGGAGGCAGCAGUGGGGAAUAUUGCACAAUGGGCGCAAGCCUGAUGCAGCCAUGCCGCGUGUGUGAAGAAGGCCCUAGGGUUGUAAAGCACUUUCAGUGGGGAGGAAAGGUUGCUGGUUAAUACCCGGCAGCUAUGACGUUACCCACAGAAGAAGCACCGGCUAACUCCGUGCCAGCAGCCGCGGUAAUACGGAGGGUGCGAGCGUUAAUCGGAAUUACUGGGCGUAAAGCGUGCGUAGGCGGCCACCUAAGUUGGAUGUGAAAGCCCCGGGCUCAACCCGGGAACUGCAUCCAAAACUGGGUGGCUGGAGUACGGGAGAGGAGUGUGGAAUUUCCUGUGUAGCGGUGAAAUGCGUAGAUAUAGGAAGGAACACCCAGUGGCGAAGGCGACACUCUGGCCUGAUACUGACGCUGAGGUACGAAAGCGUGGGGAGCAAACAGGAUUAGAUACCCUGGUAGUCCACGCCCGUAAACGAUGUCUACUAG
Molecule: ribosomal RNA, 835 nt
Filed under: uncultured bacterium
Lineage: Bacteria
Description: bacterial SSU rRNA
Rfam family: Bacterial small subunit ribosomal RNA
Source: RNAcentral